AUUUGUGUGUGUGUGUGUGUAUAUAUAUAUAUGUCUUUAGAUAUAAUCCCUAGAACAAACCCCUUGUUUAUCUCCCUAGGUCAGUCAGUUCUGCAGAAGUUUGUCAAUCCUAUAAAGGUAGAUACAGAGAAUGUAUAAGGUUUUUGCCAUAAUAGUUGAUAUAUAUGUAUUCUCCAAAGCAAGAGGAAAAUCAAAUUACUACUCAUUUCCUCUAAAAUAUGCUACAAUUUAAGAUUACUAAUUAUUAAUUAUGUAUCACAAAUUCCAUAUCUGCUGAAAUUUUUUAAGAAUUAGGGACCUAUGACUACAGUUAACAUUCUAGUUUAGAAUAUUUUAAAAGGCUUUAAAAUAAAAUUUCAACAAGAGACUAAGAGCUCUACUUAAAUAUGAUCAAUUAUAUAAGUCAGC
This 408-nucleotide long non-coding RNA is filed under the name Bos taurus (domestic cattle). RNAcentral's name for it is "long non-coding RNA NONBTAT024175". Lineage: Eukaryota; Metazoa; Chordata; Mammalia; Artiodactyla; Bovidae. The record is from RNAcentral.